GUCUACGGCUACACCACCCUGAACGUGCCUGAUCUCGGAAGCUAAGCAGGGUCCGGCCUGGUUAGUACUUGGAUGGGAGACUGCCUGGAAAUACCAGGUGCUGUAGGCU
RNAcentral lists this ribosomal RNA (109 nucleotides) under Saimiri boliviensis boliviensis (Bolivian squirrel monkey). The record is from RNAcentral. Lineage: Eukaryota; Metazoa; Chordata; Mammalia; Primates; Cebidae.